CGUGCAACGGUGGGGUCCCUCGGCCUGGCCUGCACCCUCUCACAAUCCGGGACCCCCUCGGCGGAUGUCAGAGAGCUGGUUUUAGCCCGAUCCUGCAGGCCAGGCUGAGGGACCCCACUAGUGCAUG
Molecule: microRNA precursor, 127 nt
Filed under: Myotis davidii
Lineage: Eukaryota; Metazoa; Chordata; Mammalia; Chiroptera; Vespertilionidae
Description: mir-9193 microRNA precursor family
Source: Rfam by way of RNAcentral